Molecule: ribosomal RNA, 484 nt
Filed under: uncultured bacterium
Lineage: Bacteria
Description: partial 16S ribosomal RNA
Rfam family: Bacterial small subunit ribosomal RNA
Source: RNAcentral
AUUGAACGCUGGCGGCAGGCCUAACACAUGCAAGUCGAGCGGCAGCAGAGUGCUUGCUCCUGGAUUCAGCGGCGGACGGGUGAGUAAUGCCUAGGAACAUGCCUGGCUGUGGGGGAGAACGUCAGGACACGGGCGCUAAUACGCUAAACGCCCUGAGGGCCUAAGUGGGGAAUCUUCGGACCUCCCGAUCUUGCACGAUCGUAGGUCGGAUUAGCUAGUUGGCGGGGUAAAGGCCUACCAAGGCGACGAUCCGUAGCUGGUCUGAGAGGAUGAUCAGUCACACUGGAACUGAGACACGGUCCAGACUCCUACGGGAGGCAGCAGUGGGGAAUAUUGGACAAUGGGCGAAAGCCUGAUCCAGCCAUACCGCGUGUGUGAAGAAGGUCUUCGGAUUGUAAAGCACUUUAGUUUGGAAAGAAGGGCAGUAAGUUAAUACCUUGCUGUUUUGACGUUACCAACAGAAUAAGCACCGGCUAACUUCGUG